This 492-nucleotide ribosomal RNA is filed under the name uncultured bacterium. RNAcentral describes it as "partial 16S ribosomal RNA". It matches the Rfam family "Bacterial small subunit ribosomal RNA", at positions 29 to 507 of the family's 1533-position model. The record is from RNAcentral.
AGUGAACGCUGGCGGUAGGCCUAACACAUGCAAGUCGAACGGCAGCACAGUAAGAGCUUGCUCUUACGGGUGGCGAGUGGCGGACGGGUGAGGAAUACAUCGGAAUCUACUUUUUCGUGGGGGAUAACGUAGGGAAACUUACGCUAAUACCGCAUACGACCUACGGGUGAAAGCAGGGGAUCUUCGGACCUUGCGCGAUUGAAUGAGCCGAUGUCGGAUUAGCUAGUUGGCGGGGUAAAGGCCCACCAAGGCGACGAUCCGUAGCUGGUCUGAGAGGAUGAUAGGCCACACUGGAACUGAGACACGGUCCAGACUCCUACGGGAGGCAGCAGUGGGGAAUAUUGGACAAUGGGCGCAAGCCUGAUCCAGCCAUACCGCGUGGGUGAAGAAGGCCUUCGGGUUGUAAAGCCCCUUUGUUGGGAAAGAAAAGCAGCAGGUUAAUACCCCGCUGUUCUGACGGUACCCAAAGAAUAAGCACCGGCUAACUUCGUG